This 267-nucleotide non-coding RNA is filed under the name Salisediminibacterium beveridgei. Its description in RNAcentral is "Bacillus beveridgei T-box sequence". It matches the Rfam family "T-box leader". Rfam says of the family: Uncharged tRNA acts as the effector for transcription antitermination of genes in the T-box leader family. T-boxes are found upstream of many aminoacyl-tRNA synthetase genes and some amino acid biosynthetic genes usually in Gram-positive bacteria. The anticodon of a specific tRNA base pairs to a specifier sequence within the T-box motif, and the NCCA acceptor tail of the tRNA base pairs to a conserved bulge in the T-box antiterminator hairpin. The record is from RNAcentral. Lineage: Bacteria; Bacillati; Bacillota; Bacilli; Caryophanales; Bacillaceae.
CGAAAUCCGUUGAUGGGAUGAGUAAGGGGUGUGUGGCAUUGACAGAGAGCCGGAGUCAGCUGAGAACCGGUAUGAGCAGCCCCCUGAAUAUGGUCCUUGGAGGAUUCUUCCGUAAGCUCUCAACCACGAGUGAGCGGGAGACGGCAGCAUCCGUUACCUUGGCAAAACAGGCGCAACGAGUUUGUCGGUUGCACCUGUCCAGAGGCCUGCAUCCAUAAUGCGGGUGAAUCCGGGUGGUACCACGUAAGCAACGCUUUCGUCCCAGAA